RNAcentral lists this ribosomal RNA (301 nucleotides) under uncultured bacterium. RNAcentral describes it as "partial 16S ribosomal RNA". It matches the Rfam family "Bacterial small subunit ribosomal RNA", at positions 509 to 809 of the family's 1533-position model. The record is from RNAcentral.
CAGUAGCCGCGGGAAUACGAAGGGGGCUAGCGUUGCUCGGAAUUACUGGGCGUAAAGGGCGCGUAGGCGGAUGUUUAAGUCAGAGGUGAAAGCCCAGGGCUCAACCUUGGAACUGCCUUUGAUACUGGACAUCUUGAGUGUGGGAGAGGUGAGUGGAACUCCGAGUGUAGAGGUGAAAUUCGUAGAUAUUCGGAAGAACACCAGUGGCGAAGGCGACUCACUGGCCCAUUACUGACGCUGAUGCGCGAAAGCGUGGGGAGCAAACAGGAUUAGAUACCCCUGUAGUCCCUGUCUCUUAUAU